GGCGAACGCUGGCGGCGUGCUUAACACAUGCAAGUCGAACGGAAAGGCCCUGCUUUUGUGGGGUGCUCGAGUGGCGAACGGGUGAGUAACACGUGAGUAACCUGCCCUUGACUUUGGGAUAACUUCAGGAAACUGGGGCUAAUACCGGAUAGGAGCUCCUGCUGCAUGGUGGGGGCUGGAAAGUUUCGGCGGUUGGGGAUGGACUCGCGGCUUAUCAGCUUGUUGGUGGGGUAGUGGAUUACCAAGGCUAUGACGGGUAGCCGGGCUGGGAGGGUGACCGGCCACAUUGGGGUUGAAAUACGGCCCAGACUACUACGGGAGGCAGCAGUGGGGAAUAGUGUACAAGGGGCGGAAGCCUGAUGCAGCAAAGCCGCGUGCGGGAUGAGGGCCAUCGGGUUGUAUUCCGCAUCCGCUUGUGACGAGACGUGAGUGACGGUAAUGGGUAAAGAAGCACCGGCUAACUACGUG
RNAcentral lists this ribosomal RNA (468 nucleotides) under uncultured bacterium. RNAcentral describes it as "partial 16S ribosomal RNA". It matches the Rfam family "Bacterial small subunit ribosomal RNA", at positions 28 to 507 of the family's 1533-position model. The record is from RNAcentral.